CACCUCUAGCAAACCUAACACAUAUUAGAGGCACUGCCUGCCCAGUGAUAUAUUCAACGGCCGCGGUAUCCUGACCGUGCAAAGGUAGCAUAAUCACUUGUCCCUUAAAUAGGGACUUGUAUGAACGGCAACACGAAAGCCUAACUGUCUCCUUUAUCCACUCAAUGAAAUUGAUUUCCUCGUACAAAAGCGAGAAUAAACUAACAAGACGAGAAGACCCUAUGGAGCUUUAAACACAUAAUCAAUUCUACCAAUAUAGUCCACCUUAAAGAACACAAAAUUAUGAUUACACUGUUUUUGGUUGGGGCGACCACGGAGAAAACUUAACCUCCGAGUAAUAUAACUAAGAUAAAACAUAACAAAGUAUUAACACAUUAAACAUAGACCCAAUAAAAUUGAUCAACGAACCAAGUUACCCUAGGGAUAACAGCGCAAUCUUCUUCAAGAGCCCAUAUCGCCAAGAAGGUUUACGACCUCGAUGUUGGAUCAGGAUCCCCAGACAGUGCAACCGCCGUCAAAGGUUUGUUUGUUCAACAAUUAAAAUCCU
Molecule: ribosomal RNA, 547 nt
Filed under: Indotyphlus maharashtraensis
Lineage: Eukaryota; Metazoa; Chordata; Amphibia; Gymnophiona; Indotyphlidae
Description: partial 16S ribosomal RNA
Rfam family: Bacterial large subunit ribosomal RNA
Source: RNAcentral